ACGGAAGGCAGCAGUGGGGAAUAUUGGACAAUGGGGGAAACCCUGAUCCAGCGACGCCGCGUGAGUGAAGAAGUAUUUCGGUAUGUAAAGCUCUAUCAGCAAGGAAGAAAAUGACGGUACUUGACUAAGAAGCCCCGGCUAACUACGUGCCAGCAGCCGCGGUAAUACGUAGGGGGCAAGCGUUAUCCGGAUUUACUGGGUGUAAAGGGAGCGUAGACGGCAUAGCAAGUCUGAAGUGAAAUGCAUGGGCUCAACCCAUGAACUGCUUUGGAAACUGUUAAGCUAGAGUGCAGGAGAGGUAAGUGGAAUUCCUAGUGUAGCGGUGAAAUGCGUAGAUAUUAGGAGGAACACCAGUGGCGAAGGCGGCUUACUGGACUGUAACUGACGUUGAGGCUCGAAAGCGUGGGGAGCAGACAGGAUUAGAUACCCUGGUA
RNAcentral lists this ribosomal RNA (434 nucleotides) under uncultured Lachnospiraceae bacterium. RNAcentral's name for it is "partial 16S ribosomal RNA". It matches the Rfam family "Bacterial small subunit ribosomal RNA", at positions 341 to 792 of the family's 1533-position model. Lineage: Bacteria; Bacillati; Bacillota; Clostridia; Lachnospirales; Lachnospiraceae. The record is from RNAcentral.